AUUGAACGCUGGCGGCAGGCCUAACACAUGCAAGUCGAGCGGAUGAAGGGAGCUUGCUCCUGGAUUCAGCGGCGGACGGGUGAGUAAUGCCUAGGAAUCUGCCUGGUAGUGGGGGAUAACGUCCGGAAACGGGCGCUAAUACCGCAUACGUCCUGAGGGAGAAAGGGGGGGAUCUUCGGACCUCACGCUAUCAGAUGAGCCUAGGUCGGAUUAGCUAGGUGGUGGGGUAAAGGCCUACCAAGGCGACGAUCCGUAACUGGUCUGAGAGGAUGAUCAGUCACACUGGAACUGAGACACGGUCCAGACUCCUACGGGAGGCAGCAGUGGGGAAUAUUGGACAAUGGGCGAAAGCCUGAUCCAGCCAUGCCGCGUGUGUGAAGAAGGUCUUCGGAUUGUAAAGCACUUUAAGUUGGGAGGAAGGGCAGUAAGUUAAUACCUUGCUGUUUUGACGUUACCAACAGAAUAAGCACCGGCUAACUUCGUG
This 484-nucleotide ribosomal RNA is filed under the name uncultured bacterium. RNAcentral describes it as "partial 16S ribosomal RNA". It matches the Rfam family "Bacterial small subunit ribosomal RNA", at positions 30 to 507 of the family's 1533-position model. The record is from RNAcentral.